This 134-nucleotide small nucleolar RNA is filed under the name Microtus ochrogaster (prairie vole). Its description in RNAcentral is "Small nucleolar RNA SNORA70 (ENSMOCG00000007096.1)". It matches the Rfam family "Small nucleolar RNA SNORA70". Rfam says of the family: snoRNA U70 seems to be exclusive to mammals and is a member of the H/ACA class of snoRNA which contain H (ANANNA) and ACA box motifs. H/ACA box snoRNAs are involved in the conversion of uridines to pseudouridines (5-ribosyluracil) a constituent of structural RNAs (transfer, ribosomal, small nuclear, and small nucleolar). Lineage: Eukaryota; Metazoa; Chordata; Mammalia; Rodentia; Cricetidae. The record is from Rfam by way of RNAcentral.
GUAUUUCAAGUUAAGUGGACAAGGUUCCUUUCCUCAUGGGGGUCUGCUGAGUGAUGGCUGCACACAAGUCUCAGGGAGUAGUGUAUGUUGCCUAAUACUUGCAUGGGUUUCCCUGAGGAUCUGUGGAGACAUAU